UACGAAGGGGGCUAGCGUUGCUCGGAAUCACUGGGCGUAAAGCGCACGUAGGCGGACUCUUAAGUCAGGGGUGAAAUCCUGGAGCUCAACUCCAGAACUGCCUUUGAUACUGGGAGCCUUGAGUUCGGGAGAGGUGAGUGGAACUGCGAGUGUAGAGGUGAAAUUCGUAGAUAUUCGCAAGAACACCAGUGGCGAAGGCGGCUCACUGGCCCGAUACUGACGCUGAGGUGCGAAAGCGUGGGGAGCAAACAGGG
RNAcentral lists this ribosomal RNA (254 nucleotides) under uncultured bacterium. RNAcentral's name for it is "partial 16S ribosomal RNA". It matches the Rfam family "Bacterial small subunit ribosomal RNA", at positions 524 to 777 of the family's 1533-position model. The record is from RNAcentral.